GAUGAACGCUGGCGGCGUGCCUAAUACAUGCAAGUCGUGCGGAAAGGCCCUUCGGGGUACUCGAGCGGCGGACGGCAGAGUAACGCGUAGGAACAUACCCCAAAGUGAGGGAUAACUGCUCGAAAGAGUAGCUAAUACCGCAUGUGAUCUUCGGAUUAAAGCUUUAUGCGCUUUGGGAAUGGCCUGCGUUCGAUUAGCUAGUUGGUGAGGUAAUGGCUCACCAAGGCUACGAUCGAUAACUGGUCUGAGAGGAUGAUCAGUCUGACUGGAACUGAGACACGGUCCAGACUCCUACGGGAGGCAGCAGUAGGGAAUUUUCCACAAUGGACGAAAGUCUGAUGGAGCAACGCCGCGUGCAGGAUGAAGGCCCUCGGGUCGUAAACUGCUUUUAGUGCGAAGAAUAUGACGGUAACACAUGAAUAAGGGUCGCUAACUACGUGCCAGCAGCCGAGUAAACGUACUCAU
Molecule: ribosomal RNA, 465 nt
Filed under: uncultured bacterium
Lineage: Bacteria
Description: bacterial SSU rRNA
Rfam family: Bacterial small subunit ribosomal RNA
Source: RNAcentral